Molecule: long non-coding RNA, 1411 nt
Organism: Anguilla rostrata (American eel)
Lineage: Eukaryota; Metazoa; Chordata; Actinopteri; Anguilliformes; Anguillidae
Exons: 3
Source: RefSeq, a predicted model, not a curated record
GGUCUGGGCAGUGCCAUGUCCAGGCUUUUUUUGACUGGAGGAACCGCUGCCUUGAAGGAAGGUCCAAUUUGCCAAUCACAGCUCCUGGUUUUGGGAGUGGCACUAGGGGUGGCCUAUUAGAGUCCAGGGGCGGACCUGGCCACCCCCCCAAGUCAGGCACCUGUCUCUGGGAGCCAUGGAAACAGUCUAAAACUGCUGUUCUGUUUGCAGAAAAUAUUGCAGGUCCUCAUUAAAUGACGAGGAGUUCUGAUUAGCAGGCAUCUGAGGACUGAAGGGCAUGUUUUGGUCUCUCUGCCAAAUUUUCUCUGAGGCAAAUGCUUUCAAGGGAAUGUGCUUAUCUCCAGUGAAUGUAAGAACUGCCCUGAUGGUUUCCCCUCCUGAGAUAAUUAGCAUAUUUUUGCAUAAUCAAUAUUUGGGGAGCUUGGAAUGUUAUUUUGCAUUAACGUCAGCAGUUUCCAGUUCCAAGGGUACUAGACUAUAUUAAUCAAACUGCAAUUUUUUUUAGAAAGUUUUUAACAUGGCCUUAACAUAAGUUUUGUGUUACACAGUAAAAUUCCUAGCGCUGAAAUCAACUCUAAAAACACCUCCGUGGGUCCAGGAGGGACUAAUAAGUACUGUUUAUUUUACACAUUGAACAUAUUUCUGUGUACAAAGGAUCACGUCAUCCCAUUUUGCAUCCCAGUCAGAGCGCAAACAGUAAAUUGCUAAUCAGAGAGCACGGCCACGUAUCAUAUUUGUCUCUGAACAGCGCAUUUCUAUGCGUGUUAUUCACUGAUCACAAAGAAUCAUGUUGAUUUUUUUAGGCCUUCUCUUCUUUUCGGUUCUGUUUAUUUUGUGACUCAUCUCUGAAUCGAUGAUGUCGUAGCAUGAGAGGGAAGAGGUGCCGCGAGCGCUGACCUGCUAAUGCACGCGGCGCAUUAGCUCUGCUGCUAACGUGGCCUGCCGAACGCCGUGGAACAGCUUGUUGCAUUUCGCGAGGCGUCAUUUCAACGGAAUACUUGCUCUCAAUUCAAAAGCUCGUCUGACCGAAGCCAGCGCCGGCAUGGUGGGUAUGUGGUCACUCAAAUUUCAGCGGUGAUAGUCGUGGUCUAACAGCCCUGUAAUGAGCGAAUGAAAUGCGCUGUUAUGCUCUCGUGCAGAGCUUUGUGGUAGAGAGAGACACUACCAGCUGAUCUAAAAGUGCCCCCCCUCCCUUUCCUUGUUGUCACUUCCCUGCCAGCUGGAACAGUUCGCUGGGGUUACCUGGCUGGUCUGGGAUUUUUGCUGAGCAGGUCCCACCCAGUUGUUUAUGCCAGUCAGGAGCGUGCGGACGAGACUCUUCUGCUCCCCGUCCUGCUCCUGGCGGUCGGACAGGCCGACCAGGGCGAAGGGUUCGCUCCUCUCCUCGGUCCGGUAGAAGGGGCAGGCCUUC